RNAcentral lists this long non-coding RNA (384 nucleotides) under Zonotrichia albicollis (white-throated sparrow). RNAcentral describes it as "lncRNA (ENSZALG00000001185.1)". Lineage: Eukaryota; Metazoa; Chordata; Aves; Passeriformes; Passerellidae. The record is from RNAcentral.
AUGUAUGAGUUUAGCUGUAAUACAGAAAAUAAAGAUUUCCUUUCUGGUCCAGAGCUGAAGACCAGACAUUUUGCUCAAAUUGAAAAAAAGUCAUUAAAUUUAAUAUAUUUUUAUCUUCCUCUGGCACGGGAGGUUAGUAGAGAAAUCCUUCUCAGGUGCAGACUGCAAAUGGACUCCAUCCAAAAUCUCCUGAAGUCAAUACAGAAAAGUUCAUGCUCUUCAUUUGAUAUUGGAUCAAGUCUUCUUUUCAUCUCUGACCAAGAUUACUUUCACAAUUCUGGCCUGUUUCUGGGUAAUAGAGGAGCAGAUCCAUGGACACGGUGUGAGGAAGAAAAGAUCUUCCAAAUGAAUGCAGCUUCAGAUAAUGGCCUCUCAUGGUACUAA